Saccostrea echinata is the source of this 209-nucleotide long non-coding RNA. RefSeq lists it as uncharacterized. NCBI's taxonomy places the organism in Eukaryota, Metazoa, Mollusca, Bivalvia, Ostreida, Ostreidae. The transcript has 3 exons. The record is from RefSeq and is a predicted model, not a curated record.
UAUUCAAAAUAUUUUAGAAAAGGCCAGCAACUAAAGUCUCUGGAAAAUCAAUGCUUGUUCAAUUUGAAGAUAGUCUUUCCUGUUGGAAAACAGUGCGAUGGCUUGAUAAAUUAGUAAAGAAAGGUGAAGUACGGAAUUUGAAAGCCAAAGACGACCACAUUUUUUGGAGAAAUAUUAAGCAGAAAGUGAAACUCCGAAGGUAGGUUAUA